This is a long non-coding RNA of Artibeus jamaicensis (Jamaican fruit-eating bat), 1190 nucleotides long. RefSeq lists it as uncharacterized. NCBI's taxonomy places the organism in Eukaryota, Metazoa, Chordata, Mammalia, Chiroptera, Phyllostomidae. The record is from RefSeq and is a predicted model, not a curated record. The transcript has 4 exons.
CCCAGCACCCCGCCGCCCGGCGGUCCCGCUCCUCCCCCGGCCCUCUGGGCCCCACCCCCUGCGUUCCCGCAGCUCCAGCACCCCUGGAGGCGCCUACAGCUCGCUCCACCCUCUCGGGUAACCCAGCAGCUGGCGGCCCCCUGAGUCCACCAGCUUGCGGGCCAGCCUCGGUUUCUCUGCUGUGGAGACAGGUUGCCCGUCCUGCCACCAUCUGGGCUCUUAGCCAGGCCAUGCAGUCACCACUCAUUGGGUAUGAUUUCUGGGAAGUCUUAGGUCCUGCUCUUAGCAUGGGGGAAGGGAAGGAGAGAGGGAGAGAAGCAUCAAUGUAUGGUCGCCUUUCGUGCGUCCCCUGCUGGGAACUGGCCUUCAGGAAACUGGCCUGCAACCCCGCCCCCUCCACCUUUAGGAAUGCUCCUCUUAAACACCACCUCCUCCAAGAAAUCUACCAGGACUGCAGGAAGAAAGAAAUCGCUCCUGUUCUCCGAGCAGCACUUCAGGCCGGAAGCACGUCGGGGACGCAAGUUCUGCAUCAUUUCACUGGCAGUGGGAACCUGACACCACUUUUUCUGAGCCAACAUGUAAAGCAUGGAAAAAAAUCCGUUUUCUGGCUUUUCUGAGUCUGUAUUUCUGCCUGUCAUCGAUGGCGUUCCCUCACAGACGAAGGGUGCACUCUCACACCUUCCCACGGAGUCCAAGUGCGGCUCUGAGGGUUUCUCCUGCACCCUGGCCGACGCCAACGCAGAGAAGCCUUUGUCUGGACCUGCGUCUCUGGAAAAAAAGAAAAAUGUGACCGUGAAAGUGAGGUCAAAGGGUCAUGUGCUACAGGGAAAAUAGGAGCAGGCACAUUUCUUCGUGGAUUUGAAGAAUAUUCCUGCAUACGUACAACACAAAGUAGGUCUAUGUUAAAAAAUAUAUGUAUAAUGCCCAGCGCCAUUGUGUCUCAGCAUCAUGGCUACGGCUGGGGGGAAGUUCACUGGCAUGUUAGACUCCUCAGUUUGGCUCACUUGGUCCCAUGACUUAGUGUUGUGAUCUCAUACAAAACUGUGGCAAUACCCAAAUGUCUCUGCAGUGUAACCCUUUCCUGGUUGCUCAAAUACAGUCCCACUACUUAUCCUUGUUUCAGAACACCUGAGCAUGAGACUUUCAAGGUUGUGUUGAGGCAGAAUGAAGUCCCACAUCUAAAAUCAUUU